AUGCACUCAGCUUUAUCAUCACUCUGUUUUCUUGGCCAGCAAGAAACCAAUAUUGGAUGUUGGGUGGUGAACAGAAUAGAUGCACAUAUUACUAAUUAAUAGUUCCAUUUCUAUUUCUUAAACUCAAUUUCCUCCACAGUUUUGAACAUGGUGGAAGUCACCGGAUACACCCAGGAUUGAAGAAAUAUGCCUGUGCGCUCACUUUGGACUCCAACACAUCUCACAAGAACCUGCUGCUCUCUGAAGACAAAAGAAAUGUAACCUGGGUGGAGGAGGAGCAGGCUUAUCCUGAUUAUACAGAGAGGUUUGAUUGCUGUCAGCAAGUGCUGUGUGAGCAGGGACUAAAAGAGCGCUGCUACCUGGAGAUGGAGGUGUCAGAGCCCUUUUGUGUUGGGUUAACAUACAGAAGCAUUGGCAGGAAAGGAGAUGUGGAUGACUGCAAGCUGGGACAAAACAACAAGUCUUGGUGUCUGAUUUGCUCUGAUGAUGGUUGUUUUGUUGAGCACAACAAAGAGAAGGUCUGUGUAUCAUCUCAGUGUUUGCGCUGCAGUCGGGUUGGGGUGUAUCUGGAUUGGGAAGCUGGCACUUUGUCCUUUUACAGAGUUUAUUCUGGUAGCCUCAUUCACCUCCACACUUUCAAAACAACCUUCAAAGAUCCCCUCUACCCUGCUGUUGAUCUUCACACCCGUUCCUCUGUAUUGUUUUGUCAGCUACCGUAGAAAGAAGUUUCACUGUAGGUUAGAAAAUGAAUGCCUGCUAAACAACUUCAGGAAGGCUAGACAUCAGUUGAAGCCUCAGCACUGUGGAGAAGGCUGUAGCUCAGGUGGUAGCGCAGGUUACCUAGUAAUUACAAGGAUGGCGGUUCAAUCUUAGUCUGCUUCAGCCUGCAUGUCAACUAUCCUGGGAUAAGAUACUAACUCCGCCCUCUCUGACACUCCACACCUGUUGGAGUGUGAAUGUUCAGUAGAAAGAGCAUAGAAAUAGUGCUUUUUUGAAUGGGUAAAUAAGACAAGUACUUUGAGUGCUCCAAUAGAGCAGAAAUGUAUAUAUAGGAACCAGUUCAUUAUCUUUGUCAAACAGACAAACAAAAGGUCAAAAAAAGUUGCCCUCUUGAAGUGAUCAGUUGAUCCUGCAGAGAGGAUAAGACAAGAAAACAUGUGCUCACUAUUCUGUUAGUAACCUUGUUUUAUAAACAUAACCUUCAGUAUGAAUAUGUAUAUAUGGUUAUUUUAGUGACACAUACAGUUUUUAAAGUGAUGAAAAAUGUUUUCAGGUUUUUUAAGAAGUGCAUGAUUUCUUGACAGAUUACGUUAAAUAAAUAAAAAUUUGGUUCAUUUGAGGAAAAUGAACAUCCAUAGAUAAUUUUCAUUUCACUUUUAUUUUACACCCUCAACUGCUUGAUUGCAAAAUAGCUACACUUUUAGCCAACAAAUCUAUAUUGAUACUGUCAAUACUGUCAUAAAAUGUCAAAAAUAAGCUCUCCUGACUCUGGAAUAGUGUCUAAGUUGUGGGAAACGGGCAUGGAGCUCCUGGAGCUACAUAUAAAAUAUUAUAUGUAAUGUGAGUUAUUUAUAUGACUCAUCAUAAUCAACCAGGAUUUCUAAAACCACAUAUUUGUCACACAGGACUGGGAAAAUGAUGUUAGCAUUGAGUUUGACAGUGUGGUAAACAACAGAAUAGACUAGUAGCCAAACAGCCAGGGAGCAGGCAGGUGGUUGAUAGCAGAUCUUCUUUCUUGUACUUACACAUAAGCCACAUUGUUAAUUUGCUAGUUUACCUGCAGUUUACCGCAGCCCAGGUUAAGUCUACACACUGGCUGUUACCUGUUGGUGUAGAUCUCAUUUUAAACAUAUAAUCUUUUGAAUGAAUGCGUUUGUAUUACAUACUUUCUUUAGCAGACCAACAUGCUUACAGUAUCAGUGCUAAAAAGUGUUUUACAUAAAGUACAUACUAUAUUUAUUUACAGCUAAUGGGAGUGUUGUUAGUUUGAAAUAAAACUAACCACCCUGAGGCUGUUUGUCUCUUGGUUUCCAGCUCACAAUAUUUUGACCAAAAUUAUACUCAAAGUUUUGAAACAAGUGUGUUGCAGGAAAAAAUGAUUCCUUACAUUAAAGUUUUGUGAUACAUUAACGAGGUAAAUAUGGUCGAGGUCUCACUACUUUAAAAGCAUUAUGUCAGUGUUGAUUUGAUAGCUUAAGCUGCUCUCUCGGGAUGAAGUAAAAGUGGAGCAAGCAGCAUAGUUGCACUAGUACAUAAGGAAUGUUAAUAAGUAGUAGUCUGGUUCUUUUAUGUCGAUUUGAAUGUAAAGUAUAUAAUAAAGCACAGAAUAAAAGAUACCUUAGCAGUGUG
Molecule: non-coding RNA, 2349 nt
Organism: Neolamprologus brichardi
Lineage: Eukaryota; Metazoa; Chordata; Actinopteri; Cichliformes; Cichlidae
Source: RefSeq, a predicted model, not a curated record